CGGGCAGUAAAGGCCGCGCUCUCGGCCAC
RNAcentral lists this small RNA (29 nucleotides) under Bombyx mori (domestic silkworm). RNAcentral describes it as "ovarian small RNA-798". The record is from RNAcentral. Lineage: Eukaryota; Metazoa; Arthropoda; Insecta; Lepidoptera; Bombycidae.